GCAGGGGUGUAACACAAAGUCCCUGGGCUGGGACAGUGGGGUGGGGAUGGUGGGAGGUGACAUGGGGUGCUUGGGCUGGGGCAGUGGGCAUGGAGGACAGGGGCCUUGACUGGUGGGCACCAAGGUUCCGUGGGGAUGGUGGUGGGAAUGCAGGGGCAGUGAGGUGCGGGCCUGGGGGCUGCUGACCACUCGCAGCUCCUCAUUACCCCCAUUUGCUGAGCGUGGGGUGCUGGGCUGCGGGCUGAGCCCUUGUGUUCAUUACCUCCUCUCAUCACUACAGCAAGCGCCAUUUCUCAUAUUGGAAAACUAAGGCUGGGAGUAGUCAGGUGACUUCCACUGGGCCUCAGAAGGCCAGGCAGGUUGUGCCUAACCACCUCGCUAUGCCCCUGGUCAGGGCUCUGUCCACAUCCCAGCCAGGCAGCUCAGGUGCUGGCUCCAUUGUGAGGUCUCAAGGCCACACAGCGGGGAGGGAGCUGCCGCUGUCCGACUGGCUGCACUUGCUGUCCCUGGCUGGGCCUGCUCUGGGACACUGAUGGGCUGGCAGCUGUUCCAUCUGCAGGAGCUCACUCCUGAGUGUCUGUUGCGCCCUGUAGAAGACUCCAGGCUAGAUGGGAGUCCCUAUGGUCCUGCUGGCCUCUGCUGGUCCCGGGGACCGCCCCGUGCCUGCACACGUUGAGGUUCUCAGUCUGUGUGUGUUGAAUACACGAAGGACGGUGCACACCUCCCACCGUGAAGCAUUGUGAAGGCAUGCGAGGCAGGGAUGGACCUUCAGAAGCAAACUGAGGUCUGGAGACAGCCAGUGCCCGGCUUCUGGCACCUUCCGGUCAUCGUUCCAAUUCAACAACCAUUUCCAGAGUUCCUUGGAGGUUCACAGCAAGCUGAGCUGGUAAGACUGUGAAGAGGUGGCUCGCUCGCCCUCCCUCGAGGCAGGGCCUGGCCUGGUUCUGGCUCUUGUCCUCACCUGGAUGCUCUGUUUUUGGAAUGAGGGCUGUUCCAUGUGCCCUGGACAUUCGGCUGCGAUUCUCUGAGGCACAGAAUGGAUUCUCCUUUCUGCUUCUCAGAACUGAGACUUGGGCCAUGAUGUGAAAGGAGGAGAAGCACCCGGGAAGCCCCGAAUUCCUGACAUGGGAAACCUUUGGGGGACAUGGAGGCUGGCCCUGAAACCCUCUUG
RNAcentral lists this long non-coding RNA (1171 nucleotides) under Macaca mulatta (Rhesus monkey). RNAcentral describes it as "lncRNA (ENSMMUG00000064523.1)". Lineage: Eukaryota; Metazoa; Chordata; Mammalia; Primates; Cercopithecidae. The record is from RNAcentral.